UGCCGCCCCCCAAGCAACUACUACGCCUGCAACAACCGGGCAACAAGGUAGUCCAGCUGUCAGUGGCACAGUGAUGGGCGUUAAUAUCCCACCACCAAUUACCGCAAAGAAAGUAGUCGCAAAUGAUACACAGGAUGUACGUGUUGACGACCGUGAAGCCCACUACCCGUUGACGACCGUGAUGCCUACUACCUGUUGACGACCGUGAUGCCUACUACCUGUUGACGACCGUGAUGCCUACUACCUGUUGACGACCGUGAAGCCUACUACCUGUUGACGACCGUGAAGCCUACUACCUGUUGACGACCGUGAUGCCUACUACCUGUUGACGACCGUGAAGCCUACUACCUGUUGACGACCGUGAUGCCCACUACCUGUUGACGACCGUGAUGCCCACUACCUGUUGACGACCAUGAUGCCCACUACGUGUUGACGACCAUGAUGCCCACUACCUGUUGACGACCGAGAUACCCACUACCUGUUGACGACCGAGAUACUCACUACCUGUUGACGACCGAGAUACCCACUACCUGUUGACGACCGAGAUACCCACUACCUGUUGACGACCGAGAUACCCACUACCUGUUGACGACCGAGAUACCCACUACCUGUUGACGACCGAGAUACCUACUACCUGUUGACGACCGAGUUUACCCACACCUGUUGACGACCGAGAUACCCACUACCUGUUGACGACCGAGAUACCCACUACCUGUUGACGACCGUGAUACCCACUACCUGUUCAUGUUCAUCACUCCAUUUGGUUCAAGAUCAAUAAAAACAAUAAUGAAAAAUGAACAGAAAAAAAAAUUAAUGUAAAUUAAAUUGAGAAAACAUCUUCACAAAAGUAUGAAGCAACAAAUAUUACUAAAUAAUCCUUAAAUGAUUACUAAAAUAUUUUAAGAUCAGAAACAAUCAGUAGACGCAUUCUUUCUCAAUCAGGAAUGUUUCCUUGAUCUUUGUAAUUCUACCAUAGCCGCUGUAACAUACCUCUCACUUCACUUCUCACUUCACUUCCAGCACUUCAUGUCUUUCAUAUUUCUUCAUGUAUUAGUCUGAAUAAAUUUGCAUUUAGUAAA
Molecule: non-coding RNA, 1079 nt
Organism: Cherax quadricarinatus
Lineage: Eukaryota; Metazoa; Arthropoda; Malacostraca; Decapoda; Parastacidae
Source: RefSeq, a predicted model, not a curated record